GUGCUGUUCCUCCUGCCCCCAAGAAGGGGCGGCAAACGCUGCACAGUGAAAUGAAAUCCAAAGCCCCCACCCCCGGCCCCUGGGAUAAACCACUAAGGGCCUUGCUGGGCAAACACAAUUAGCAUUGAGCAAAGUACACAGACGUCUUCCACCGCUAUCAGUAUUGUUGAUCUCUGAAGACACGAGCUUGUUUCUGAAGACAGCAUCUUCAGCUGGUCAGUGGGAUUGCCUUCUGACAGUGUCGCCAGACUUGCAGUUCAGAGGUGGUGACAGAAAUGACUCUCGGUGGCCCCAUCUCUCAGAUGCAGGAGGAUUCUUCGAGAAGGUGCUGGUGCCUUCAGUCUUCAAGGAGCUGGCCUCAGAGUUGCAGCAAGCAGGCUCCUUUAAGACAGAUCUGUGCUCCUAAUUAUGUGCUGCUGAAGAGGCUGCUCAUGACUCAGCGUGGGACAGGACUGUUUGUAUGUCUUCUGGGCAAAGUGCUCAUUUUCAGCUUUUUGGCACUGUUCAACUUAGGUGAGAUUGCUGUGGGAAGUAGCUCUCUUAAUAAAUCAUCUUUGAGUUUAUUUAGUCAGUAACACAAUCUAGCCCUUGUCAAAUACAUUAACUGCUAUUUAUCUAGGAGGAAUCCCGAGGAGGGCUGAGUCACUUCUCAGAUUGCUCAACUAUGAAGGGCUAACACGGAAACAGGUUCUUCUGCAGUUUUAUGUUUCCUCUUAAAUCCUGGCUGAUGUUCCCUGUUUUUGUAUACUGUGGGAAGUUUUCUUCCAGCUGGUAAUGAGCUAUCAGGGAGGCUCAACCCGCAGGCCCCGUAAGCCCCAGGAAUUUACACAACGUUGGAGGAAUUUUCCCCGUGAGGGCCUGCAGCUGGGCGUUCCUGCGACACUGCUCUGCUUUGUGUGGCCCAGUGGAGCAUCUCUCUGAGGCGCUUGGGCCCUGGAGGGCGACCUGCAGUGCUCUUCCGUUUCUAAGAGCUGGCUCCCUGAAUUUCUCUGAUUCAAGAUACGAUUGCCUUUUGGGCCAGGUCAUCAACUGGGCACAUUUUGGGACUUCUCAGAACUCAGUCACAACUGGCUACCAUCCAGUCUUGUUUUCUUUCCUGGGAUCCCUGGAUCAGGAAGAUCCCCUGGAGCAGGAAAUGGCAAGUCACUGCAGUGUUCCUGCCUGGAGAAUCCCAGGGACUGAGGGGCCUG
Molecule: long non-coding RNA, 1190 nt
Filed under: Bos indicus x Bos taurus (hybrid cattle)
Lineage: Eukaryota; Metazoa; Chordata; Mammalia; Artiodactyla; Bovidae
Description: lncRNA (ENSBIXG00005026252.1)
Source: RNAcentral